CCGGCGAGCGUGCACACAGGCAUGGGAAGGAAAGGGGAGAAGAGAGGAAGGGGAGGAGGCUUACCUCCGAUGCCGGCGAGGCUUUUUCGGCGAGCAAUUGGAUGGGCACAGGGAUGGGUCUCCGCGGUGGUUUUCUGGCGAUUGCCGUCGAUUGGAUCUCAGGUCUUUGGUGGAAGGGAGAGAGGAGGGAUCUCCUCCUUAAAUAGAGCUAAAGGGGGCUCUUUUCCGACUCCGAUUGGGAGCUGGCGAGAGGAGGAAGAAGACUCCCUUCGGGAGUUCUUCUCCUCUAUUUUUUUUUGUUUGGACUUUGGUAGGUUGGGAUUCUUACUCGGGCUGGG
Molecule: long non-coding RNA, 338 nt
Filed under: Elaeis guineensis (African oil palm)
Lineage: Eukaryota; Viridiplantae; Streptophyta; Magnoliopsida; Arecales; Arecaceae
Description: long non-coding RNA (EGUI_LNC069583)
Source: RNAcentral